Molecule: non-coding RNA, 1181 nt
Organism: Misgurnus anguillicaudatus (oriental weatherfish)
Lineage: Eukaryota; Metazoa; Chordata; Actinopteri; Cypriniformes; Cobitidae
Source: RefSeq, a predicted model, not a curated record
GAAGUUCCAGAGACGAGCACGGCAACACAAAUCACCAUAGUAGUACUGUCUGUGUUACUGAUUCUUGCCGUCACAGGGAUCCUGUGUUAUAGUUUCUUAAGGAGGAGGAGAAAGUAUAUAUCAUCUCAAAAAUGUGACGACACAAAACCAUCUGCACAGCCUCAACCCGACUCAUCUACAUUGGAUAACUCCACACCCCUUUCGGCAGAAGCUGACGUUACCCACCAGACUCACUCAGAGGAGCAGGACCUUCAUUAUUCAAGUGUUAACUUUAAGAAGUCUAACAAGAACGCACCUACUAUUAUAUAUACAUCAAAUGAAAAUGUUUGUUAUGCCACUGUGAGGUCAAAAUAACCCUUAACUACUCUUGCUGUCCACCAUAUUGUAACAAACACAUCUUCAUGUCAAGGCCUGUGUGUUUGGAUAGUUUUAGUAAACAGUGGCCAUUUAAUGAUGAAAUAGCUUGUCAGACCCUAGCAACAGUAAGCCAAGAGGUCAAUUGAAUGUUCAGUUUCAGAACAUUUCCAAGAUUAACUUGUUUAAAGCGACUUUGAACGGACAAUUCCAUUUUUUAUUAGUUACUGCUACUGCAUCAUGUUUUUCCAAUAUUUUGUUAAUGUAAAUAAUACAUCUGUAAUGUAUGUAAUGUAAUGUUUAAAACAGUUUCUUAAGGAGGAGGAGAAAGUGUAUAUCAUCUCAAAAAUGUAAUGACGCAAAACCGGCUGCACAGGUGAGAACAAGUGUUCUGUCAUUUAAAUCUUUUUAAAAUGUUGGGUUUUUGGGUCAAAUAUGGACAAACCCAAAUUUUGGGUCAUUCUAACCCAGAAGCCGAGUUGUUAAAAACCCAUAGUUGGGUAACAACAACCUUGCAUACAGUAUGGCAAUAACCCAACAGUUGGGUUCGUUCAUAUUUGACCAAACUAUGGGUUGAAACAAUGGAGCAUUUUUUUUUUUAGAGUUUACUAACACAAGUUUUGAAAAGUGUGAUUAUUUUUUACUAUAAACAGAAAGAAAGAGGAACUGAAAAAAUAUUGUGAACUUUCCAGUUAAAGAAGCUUGUGGCCUUCAUGUAUUGUUUUAAUAGCAUGUUGUUUUAUUUUAACAUGAUUUUUGUUUUUAUUUGUAUAUGGUUUUAUAAAGAUUAUAUAUGUUUCUUUUUUUCAGCGCAAUGAUUUAUCUUU